UAGGAGAAGCAUUCUCAAGGUGGUCCUCGU
This 30-nucleotide non-coding RNA is filed under the name Homo sapiens (human). The record is from RNAcentral. Lineage: Eukaryota; Metazoa; Chordata; Mammalia; Primates; Hominidae.